UGCGUCGGACAAACAACACUGGGAUAAGAUACAGCCUUGAGCCUUGGCAAGUUAACACAUUAGUUAGGGUUAUGAAGUUUUUCAUGGCACCGACACAUUAUUGAGCAGUAGCGCAUCAGAUGACCAGUGUAUAUCUCUACAUGAGGAAUUCUCCAAAGAUCCAGAGCUGAUUGUUUCAUAGAGCUGUGAAGUUGCUCUAAACAUACUGGAUUUUGAACGAUCCGGCAAACCAUUCGAGUACCUCUUUAUGUAGGCACCUCAAUUGCAGGAGGCAGCAUGAUGGUUUCACUUUGUUGUGUGUUUUGUUACCAUUGAGUACUAAAUGGCAUACAUUUGGAUAGAGUUUUGAAUGAUUUAGUCAACA
This is a long non-coding RNA of Helianthus annuus (common sunflower), 364 nucleotides long. RefSeq lists it as uncharacterized. Lineage: Eukaryota; Viridiplantae; Streptophyta; Magnoliopsida; Asterales; Asteraceae. The transcript has 3 exons. The record is from RefSeq and is a predicted model, not a curated record.